GACGAACGCUGGCGGCGUGCUUAACACAUGCAAGUCGAACGGAAAGGCCCUGCUUUUGUGGGGUGCUCGAGUGGCGAACGGGUGAGUAACACGUGAGUAACCUGCCCUUGACUUUGGGAUAACUUCAGGAAACUGGGGCUAAUACCGGAUAGGAGCUCCUGCUGCAUGGUGGGGGUUGGAAAGUUUCGGCGGUAGGGGAUGGACUCGCGGCUUAUCAGCUUGUUGGUGGGGUAGUGGCUUACCAAGGCUUUGACGGGUAGCCGGCCUGAGAGGGUGACCGGCCACAUGGGUACUGAGAUACGGCCCAGACUCCUACGGGAGGCAGCAGUGGGGAAUAUUGCACAAUGGGCGGAAGCCUGAUGCAGCAACGCCGCGUGCGGGAUGACGGCCUUCGGGUUGUAAACCGCUUUCGCCUGUGACGAAGCGUGAGUGACGGUAAUGGGUAAAGAAGCACCGGCUAACUACGUG
Molecule: ribosomal RNA, 468 nt
Filed under: uncultured bacterium
Lineage: Bacteria
Description: partial 16S ribosomal RNA
Rfam family: Bacterial small subunit ribosomal RNA
Source: RNAcentral